This 790-nucleotide ribosomal RNA is filed under the name Pilatobius sp. 261(8). RNAcentral's name for it is "partial large subunit ribosomal RNA". It matches the Rfam family "Eukaryotic large subunit ribosomal RNA", at positions 37 to 653 of the family's 3401-position model. The record is from RNAcentral. Lineage: Eukaryota; Metazoa; Tardigrada; Eutardigrada; Parachela; Hypsibiidae.
AGCAUAUUACUAAGCGGAGGAAAAGAAACCAACGGGGAUUCCCAUAGUAACUGCGAGUGAAAGGGGAAAAGCCCAGCGCCGAAUCCUGCUGCUGGAGACGGUGGCAGGAACUGUGGCGUGAAGAUGGUGUCUAUCGGUGUGGCUCGCUCGCGUAAGUUCUCCUGAGUGAGGCUCCAUCCCAUGGAGGGUGCAAGGCCCGUGUCGUGAGCAGCCGUCGCUGAUGUGCACUUUCAGAGAGUCGCCUUGUUUGCGAGUACAAGGUGAAGUCGGUGGUAAACUCCAUCGAAGGCUAAAUAUGACCACGAGUCCGAUAGCGAACAAGUACCGUGAGGGAAAAUUGAAAAGCACUUUGAAGAGAGAGCGAAACAGUGCGUGAAACCGCUCAGAGGCAAGCAGAUGGGGCCUCGAAGGCAGAGCAUCGAAUUCAGCCGGUUGUCCGUGCGGUUGGGUGGGAGUGGAGAGCGCAAGCCUCUGCCUGCUUGAUUGGUACGGCUGCCGGUGCACUUUCGGUGCUUGUACGCCACCGCCGUUAAGGAGCGUCCGCCGGGUCGGCGUGUGGAGCCUUACUCUUGCAAGAGAGUAGGUGCUCACUGCUGAUCUGUGCGCGCUCGCACUUUAACCGGUCAAGUCAGCAUGUGCCAGCGUUUGCGCUGGGCAAGUCGGCUCCGUGUGGGCUGUGUGGAGAUGACGAGCUUGCUCGGCUCUUCUGCACUCGCCGGACUUGUGCUUGUUUUCAGCGUGGCACAUUGUAGAUUCGGUGGCGAGUAGACGGCUGCCCAUCUAACCCGUC